AGCAGCCGCGGUAAUUCCAGCUCCAAUAGCGUAUAUUAAAGUUGUUGCAGUUAAAAAGCUCGUAGUUGAAUUUCGGGGUCUGUCCAUUGGUCGGGCUUCACGGUCCUUACUGGUGAGAUGGGUUCCUACCUUCUGAAUAACCGGCAUGCCAUUCAGUUGGUGCGCCGGGGAAGCAGAGCUAUUACCUUGAAAAAAUUAGAGUGCUUAAAGCAGGCUAUUGCUUGAAUAGAUUAGCAUGGAAUAAUAAAAUAGGACGGCAUGGUUCUAUUUUGUUGGUUUCUAGGAUCACCGUAAUGAUUAAUAGGGAUAGUUGGGGGCAUUAGUAUUCAAUUGUCAGAGGUGAAAUUCUUAGAUUUAUUGAAGACUAACUUCUGCGAAAGCAUUUGCCAAGGAUGUUUUCAUUAAUCAAGAACGAAAGUUAGGGGAUCGAAGACGAUCAGAUACCGUCGUAGUCUUAACCAUAAACUAUGCCGACUAGGGAUCGGACGAUGUUAAUUUUUUAAUGACUCGUUCGGCGCCU
This 520-nucleotide ribosomal RNA is filed under the name uncultured Acaulospora. RNAcentral's name for it is "SSU rRNA". It matches the Rfam family "Eukaryotic small subunit ribosomal RNA", at positions 569 to 1088 of the family's 1831-position model. Lineage: Eukaryota; Fungi; Glomeromycota; Glomeromycetes; Diversisporales; Acaulosporaceae. The record is from RNAcentral.